AUGGACAAGUUGGCAGCUGGAACCACAUGGUUGGCCAUAGCUAUUUUUGUCAUAUCUGUUAUAGCCACCAAGAUUUCAAGAUGGAAAAGCAAUGCCCAUCUGUCCAGAAGACCACUUCCGCCUGUUGUAAAUGUCCUUGCUCUGUUACCUUCGCUCUUUAACAAGGGUUUCUGGGUUACAAUCAAUGAUCUGUAUACAAGGUUUGGUACUGUAUUUACUGUAAAUUUGUUUGGACCAAAGAUAACCAUGUUGGUUGGACCGGAGGUCUCAGCUCAUUUCUUCCAAGGUCUGGAGUCAGAGAUAAGCUUUGGUAAUUUCGCCGAGGUCACCAUUCCCCUUUUUGGCCAAGAAGUUCUUUAUGCUGUAGAUACCGCAACUCGCAACGAGCAAGUAAAUUUCGUCAUUGAUGUAUUAUUGCCAUCAAAGAUGCGGAGCCUCGUUGAUCCCAUAUCGCAGGAAGUAGAGGCCUACUUUGCAAAGUGGGGACAAGAUGGCAUAGUUGAUCUUAAACAUGAACUUGAGCAGGUGCUCAUGUUUAUCUCAUGUCGGUGCCUACUCGGAUAUGAGAUUCAGGAGAUGAUGAUGGAAGAAAUAUACUCAUUGUUCCAUGAACUUGGGAAGGGCUUAAACUUUUUCAGUUACUUGUUCCCACAUAUGCCAACUCCAACAAACCAACGACGCGACAAGGCACACAUCAGGCUGAAGGAAAUAUUCACCAAAAUCAUCAGGUCACGUAGAAGCUCCAACCGAGUUGAGGAGGAUGUACUACAGAGGUUGAUGGAUUCCAAGUACAAAGAUGGUCGCUCCACAACAGAAGCAGAAAUUUCCGGCAUAAUCAUGGCCCUCGUCUUUGCUGGAAAACACUCGAGCACUGCCGCUAGUACAUGGACUGGAGCUUUCAUGUUGAGCAACACCAAGUUCUUAAUAGCUGCCAUGGAGGAGCAAAAGCAUAUCAUUAGCAAGUACGAGAACCAAAUAGACUACAAUGCCUUGUUAGAGAUGGAUACCCUGCAUAGAUGCAUUAAGGAGGCAAUGAGGAUGCAUACUCCAUCGCAAAUGUUAAUUCGCAAGGCACAUAAGAACUUCAAGGUGCAGGCCAAGGAAGGCAAAGAAUAUGACAUACCUAAAGGGCAUAACAUUGUAAUCCCCACGGCACUCAACAAUAAGUUGGCACACGUUUAUAGUAACCCUCAUGUGUAUGAUCCAGAUCGAUUUGGUCCUGGAAGAGAGGAGGACAAAGUUGGUGGCAAGUUCUCUUUGACGACAUUUGGUGGUGGAAGGCAUAUUUGCCCUGCCAUGGCCUAUGCUUACUUUCAAAUUAAAUUGGUAUGGAGCCAUCUGCUAAGAAACUUUGAGCUCAGGCUAAUAUCUCCUUUCCCUGAGGCAGAUUUUAGCAAGUUGGGCCAAGAGCCUAAAGGAAAAGUAAUGAUAAGUUAUAAGAGACAUUAG
RNAcentral lists this ribosomal RNA (1449 nucleotides) under Triticum aestivum (bread wheat). RNAcentral describes it as "partial small subunit ribosomal RNA". The record is from RNAcentral. Lineage: Eukaryota; Viridiplantae; Streptophyta; Magnoliopsida; Poales; Poaceae.